GAUGGCGACCGGCGCACGGGUGAGUAACACGUAUCCAACCUGCCGAUGACUCGGGGAUAGCCUUUCGAAAGAAAGAUUAAUACCCGAUGGCAUAGUUCUUCCGCAUGGUGGAACUAUUAAAGAAUUUCGGUCAUCGAUGGGGAUGCGUUCCAUUAGGUUGUUGGCGGGGUAACGGCCCACCAAGCCUUCGAUGGAUAGGGGUUCUGAGAGGAAGGUCCCCCACAUUGGAACUGAGACACGGCCCAGACUCCUACGGGAGGCAGCAUG
Molecule: ribosomal RNA, 267 nt
Filed under: uncultured bacterium
Lineage: Bacteria
Description: partial 16S ribosomal RNA
Rfam family: Bacterial small subunit ribosomal RNA
Source: RNAcentral